UACGGAAGGCAGCAGUAGGGAAUCUUCCGCAAUGGACGAAAGUCUGACGGAGCAACGCCGCGUGAACGAUGAAGGCUUUCGGGUCGUAAAGUUCUGUUGUUAGGGAAGAACAAGUACCGGAGUAACUGCCGGUACCUUGACGGUACCUAACCAGAAAGCCACGGCUAACUACGUGCCAGCAGCCGCGGUAAUACGUAGGUGGCAAGCGUUGUCCGGAAUUAUUGGGCGUAAAGCGCGCGCAGGCGGUCCUUUAAGUCUGAUGUGAAAGCCCACGGCUCAACCGUGGAGGGUCAUUGGAAACUGGGGACUUGAGUGCAGAAGAGGAGAGUGGAAUUCCACGUGUAGCGGUGAAAUGCGUAGAGAUGUGGAGGAACACCAGUGGCGAAGGCGACUCUCUGGUCUGUAACUGACGCUGAGGCGCGAAAGCGUGGGGAGCGAACAGGGAUUAAUACC
This 453-nucleotide ribosomal RNA is filed under the name uncultured bacterium. RNAcentral's name for it is "bacterial SSU rRNA". It matches the Rfam family "Bacterial small subunit ribosomal RNA", at positions 340 to 786 of the family's 1533-position model. The record is from RNAcentral.